UAUGCUGUAGUGAAGAUUGUGAGGGAAAAAUACCUGAAGACCACAGCAUUUGAGUCCCAGGAGCAGUUCCAAGCAUUUCUCAGUGAGCUGUAUGUGUACCUUGUGGAUCAGAUGCACGUUGCCCUGAACCAGCUACUGUAUGAAGAAGCUUCUUCUCCUGUCCCUCGAAUCCGCAUGACUGACGAGCAGCUCUGGCUUUUUGCUCGUGAAGCUGAAGUCAACAAGGACUAUAAGCUGGCAUCGCUCUACCACCAGCAGAGGAUAGCUCAGGACCAGCACAACAUCCAGUACUGGCUGGACUACGGGGCAUUCUGCCUCCUGCUCGAGGACACCCUCAAAGCCCAGGAGUGCUUCCGGGAGGCUCUUUCUCUGGACCCACAUCAUGUGAGAAGGUGCUGUGUGCUCCCAGAGGGUGGGAAGGUGAUGGGUGUCCUGCAUGCUGCUGACGGGGAGCUGCUUCUAUCCCCAGCUUGCUGCUCUGUGGGAUCGUGGCAGUCAUGCUGCAGCACUAUGAAGAGGCAGAGAUUUUCUUUGAGGAUGCUUGUUGCUUGGAGCCAUCCAGUGUUGUAGCCUGGACGCUUUCAGGUACAAAAGCAAGCCAGCUUGUGUGCUGAAGGCAUUACUGUAGAGCUGAGCCUUGCUUCUUCUCCUGCUGCUCCUCCCCACUGCUGUAAUCUGAGGACUAAGGGAAAGAUUUUACUGAGGGCUAGAUUUCUGCUCAUGCUGCUAUUUCUGUAUUUGAUAGGUUUGUUCUGUGAGCUGCAGAAUAACUACAUUCAGGCAGAAAUGGCCUUCCGUGAAGCCAAGAAGAAACUCCAAGCACAGCAGGCCAGGGAGGGAAGCAUCUCUGGGAAAGGGAGAAGGCAAAUCAGUGCUACGUCUGUGAGGUCUUCCAGUCCAAGCCCAGAACAGCUCUUGCCAGAGGGGGUUCCAGAUGGCUCAGCCAGCGAGCUGCCAGAGACAGGGGAGGAGCCUGCCCUAGCUUCUAUGGUGCCUGAGGAAGAGGCUCCAGCAUCGGAGACAGCCUCAGAAGGUCAGGGAGUGGUAAACUGGUUGUGGGAUGGAGAGCCCAGGGCUGGGAGAUGGCUUUAUGCAAGCAGCAGGGAGGGAAAUAACUUGGGAGCAGUGGGCUGUGGCCGUCCUGAUGCCAAGGUGAGACAUCAAGCCUUGUUCUUUUCCCUUAGCUGGGAAAUCUGCAGCAAAGCUCUGCUCUCCUCUGGAUGGCAAAGAGAUGGCAGUGCUGGGGCCUUAUGGCUCCACUGGGCUGUGCUGUUCUCAUAUCCAUAAAAACAGAGGCCCUUCAGGAGAAAAUGCUGAGUUAAUAGCUGUUUGAGCCUCCCCUGCCAUCUUUACACUGUGUCACUGGGAUUCCUCUGUCCCAGCUAGGGGCUCAGCCCUGCUCUUGUUUCAGUUUGGAACUGAUGGAGAUGCGUUUUCUUACAGAUCCAUCCCAUGUUUCAGGGCACAGGGAACCUGUCUGCACAAUCUUCAUGAAGACAGUGGAAUUCCUGAUGAAAUUCAAUGCCAUCCAGGUCAGCUCAACAUGAAGUGAAGGGAGGGAAGGGAUUUGCAGUUUCCUUCCCUGGGUUACUACCAAACUGGCAAGCUCCAGCAAAGGCCCCUGUUGGGCUUAAAGAACACACUGGGGUUACUCCAGCAGCAAAAGCACUGCCCAGAAAUGCAAACCCAUGGUCAGGCAGAAUGUUAAGACCAAAGUGCUGCUUGGGAAUGAAGACACCUCAGGGAGACAGGGCUCUGGGACUGCAUGGAUGUGGAGGGAGCAGCCAAGCCAGACAGUGCAGGGGUGUCCUCUGUACAUCCAGAGAUGAGAAGCAUUACUGUGAUGCUUCCAAUACAGCAGUACUCCUUUCUUUUUUCAGACAUUUGCUUAUGUCAGAGCAAUUUUUGUGUCACUUGUAGGAUGUCCCUGUUCCGCACAGCCAUCUCUAUGACACUUCUCUGACUGCCAUAUUAAGCUGUCUGCUUUCAUUUUACGUGGCAGAAAGAGCUGCUUAAAGCAAAACAGCCCUAAAAGUAACGGGAAGUAAAUUUUCAAAGCUGAGGAAGAAAAAAAUCCUCUCCCAUCUCAUGUUUGUGGAAGUCAAACAAGAGCAAGACAAUCCUCCUUGAAGAGCACUUAGGGCAGGAGCAGUGUCCUCCUGGGGAUGCCUGUGCUUUGCCUGCUCCCCCAGCCAUACUGCUGUGCCAUUCCUUUGCAGUUUGUUCACAUGGCACUUGCCCACGAGCUGCUGAGCCAUCAGGGAGGCCCUUCCAGUGCUUACUACCU
Chrysolophus pictus (golden pheasant) is the source of this 2287-nucleotide long non-coding RNA. The record is from Ensembl. Lineage: Eukaryota; Metazoa; Chordata; Aves; Galliformes; Phasianidae.